GGACGGUACCUUUCGAGGAAGCCACGGCUAACUACGUGCCAGCAGCCGCGGUAAUACGUAGGUGGCGAGCGUUGUCCGGAAUUAUUGGGCGUAAAGGGAGCGCAGGUGGGAAAGUAAGUCAGUCUUAAAAGUGCGGGGCUCAACCCCGUGAUGGGAUUGAAACUACUUUUCUUGAGUGCAGGAGAGGAAAGCGGAAUCCCUAGUGUAGCGGUGAAAUGCGUAGAUAUUAGGAGGAACACCAGUGGCGAAGGCGGCUUUCUGGACUGUAACUGACACUGAGGCUCGAAAGCGUGGGGAGCGAACAGGAUUAGAUACCCUG
Molecule: ribosomal RNA, 319 nt
Filed under: uncultured bacterium
Lineage: Bacteria
Description: bacterial SSU rRNA
Rfam family: Bacterial small subunit ribosomal RNA
Source: RNAcentral